Molecule: ribosomal RNA, 465 nt
Filed under: uncultured bacterium
Lineage: Bacteria
Description: partial 16S ribosomal RNA
Rfam family: Bacterial small subunit ribosomal RNA
Source: RNAcentral
GACGAACGCUGGCGGCGUGCUUAACACAUGCAAGUCGAACGGAAAGGCCCCUUUGGGGGUACUCGAGUGGCGAACGGGUGAGUAACACGUGAGUAGCCUGCCCUUGACUUCGGGAUAACUUCAGGAAACUGGGGCUAAUACCGGAUAGGAAUCCUUGCUGCAUGGUGGGGGUUGGAAAGCUUCGGCGGUUUUGGAUGGACUUGCGGCUUAUCAGCUUGUUGGUGGGGUAGUGGCUUACCAAGGCUUUGACGGGUAACCGGCCUGAGAGGGCGACCGGCCACAUUGGGACUGAGAUACGGCCCAGACUCCGACGGGAGGCAGCAGUGGGGAAUAUUGAACAAUGGGCGGAAGCCGGAUGCAGCAACGCCGCGUGCGGGAUGACGGCCUUCGGGUUGUAAACCGCUUUCAGCAGGGGCGAAGCUUGUGGUGACGGUACCUGCAGAAGAAGCACCGGCUAACUACGUG